CACACCGCCCGUCACGCCAUGGGAGUUGGGUUUACCCGAAGACGGUGCGCUAACCAGCAAUGGAGGCAGCCGGCCACGGUAGGCUCAGCGACUGGGGUG
This 99-nucleotide ribosomal RNA is filed under the name uncultured bacterium. Its description in RNAcentral is "partial 16S ribosomal RNA". It matches the Rfam family "Bacterial small subunit ribosomal RNA", at positions 1386 to 1482 of the family's 1533-position model. The record is from RNAcentral.